GACGAACGCUGGCGGCGUGCCUAAUACAUGCAAGUCGAACGCUGAAGAGAGGAGCUUGCUCUUCUUGGAUGAGUUGCGAACGGGUGAGUAACGCGUAGGUAACCUGCCUGGUAGCGGGGGAUAACUAUUGGAAACGAUAGCUAAUACCGCAUAAAAUUGAUUAUUGCAUGAUAAUUAAUUGAAAGAUGCAACUGCAUCACUACCAGAUGGACCUGCGUUGUAUUAGCUAGUUGGUGAGGUAACGGCUCACCAAGGCGACGAUACAUAGCCGACCUGAGAGGGUGAUCGGCCACACUGGGACUGAGACACGGCCCAGACUCCUACGGGAGGCAGCAGUAGGGAAUCUUCGGCAAUGGGGGGAACCCUGACCGAGCAACGCCGCGGGAGUGAAGAAGGUUUUCGGAUCGUAAAGCUCUGUUGUAAGAGAAGAACGGGUGUGAGAGUGGAAAGUUCACACUGUGACGGUAGCUUACCAGAAAGGGACGGCUAACUACGUG
This 497-nucleotide ribosomal RNA is filed under the name uncultured bacterium. Its description in RNAcentral is "partial 16S ribosomal RNA". It matches the Rfam family "Bacterial small subunit ribosomal RNA", at positions 28 to 507 of the family's 1533-position model. The record is from RNAcentral.